GCAAGUAGAAACAAAAUCUAGAUUUAGUAUAUAUAUAUAGUAAAAAGUUGUUUACUUGUGUUUCUAGGAUAAUUUUACGAGAAAAUGAUUACGAUAGCACUAAAAAAAUUUUGUCACGAAUAAAAAUGACCAAAAUAGCACUUCAUGUUUUAUCAAAAGAGAUAAAUAUACACUUAUACCCCAAAGGUAAAUUAAUUUAGAUAUUAGAGUUUAGAGUUAAGAGGUAGGGUUUAGGAUUUAGUAUUUAGGGUUUAUGGUUUAGGGUUUAGAGUUUAGAGUUUAGGGUUUAGAUUUUAGGUUUGGGGAUUAGGGUUUAGGGUUUAGAGUUAAGGGGUGAGGUUUAGGAUUUAGGGUUUAGGGUUUAGGAUUUAGGGUUUAGAGUUUAGGGUUUAGAGUUGGGAAGUGGGGUUUUGGGAUAAGAUUUCAAAUUUUGAAAAAUAAAAAAAUUUAAAUUUUUCAAAAGAUAAAAUGCUAUUUUAGUCAUUUUAGUUUUUAAAGAUUAUUUUUGUGACAUAAACUUAGAAAAGUGAUAUUUUGGAGAUUUGCCCUAAUUUUAUUAAACAAACAUCAAAUAUCUCCUUUAAACUAGUAAUUAAAUCAUGUAAAAUUCCGUAAUUUAAACGCUAGAGUUUUGAGUCGUUUUUUGGGGAAAAAGUAGUGUAGUUGGUUCAUCGAAGGCUUGUUUAGUAAAAUAACGAAUCAUAAAAAAAAUCUUGAAGACGUGAAGAAAAUUAAAC
This 737-nucleotide long non-coding RNA is filed under the name Brassica napus (rape). RNAcentral describes it as "long non-coding RNA (BNAP_LNC022437)". The record is from RNAcentral. Lineage: Eukaryota; Viridiplantae; Streptophyta; Magnoliopsida; Brassicales; Brassicaceae.